RNAcentral lists this ribosomal RNA (642 nucleotides) under uncultured bacterium. Its description in RNAcentral is "bacterial SSU rRNA". It matches the Rfam family "Bacterial small subunit ribosomal RNA", at positions 66 to 719 of the family's 1533-position model. The record is from RNAcentral.
ACGGACUUACAUUGAAGCCUAGCGAUAUGUAAGUUAGUGGCGGACGGGUGAGUAACGCGUGGGUAACCUGCCUUGUACUGGGGGACAACAGUUGGAAACGACUGCUAAUACCGCAUAAGCGCACAGCUUCGCAUGAAGCAGUGUGAAAAACUCCGGUGGUACAAGAUGGACCCGCGUCUGAUUAGCUGGUUGGUGAGGUAACGGCCCACCAAGGCGACGAUCAGUAGCCGGCCUGAGAGGGUGAACGGCCACAUUGGGACUGAGACACGGCCCAAACUCCUACGGGAGGCAGCAGUGGGGAAUAUUGCACAAUGGGGGAAACCCUGAUGCAGCAACGCCGCGUGAGUGAAGAAGUAUUUCGGUAUGUAAAGCUCUAUCAGCAGGAAAGAAAAUGACGGUACCUGACUAAGAAGCCCCGGCUAACUACGUGCCAGCAGCCGCGGUAAUACGUAGGGGGCAAGCGUUAUCCGGAUUUACUGGGUGUAAAGGGAGCGUAGACGGUUUUGCAAGUCUGAAGUGAAAGCCCGGGGCUUAACCCCGGGACUGCUUUGGAAACUGUAGGACUAGAGUGCAGGAGAGGUAAGUGGAAUUCCUAGUGUAGCGGUGAAAUGCGUAGAUAUUAGGAGGAACACCAGUGGCGAA